CCUACGGGUGGCAGCAGUGGGGAAUAUUGGACAAUGGGCGAAAGCCUGAUCCAGCCAUGCCGCGUGUGUGAAGAAGGCCUUCGGGUUGUAAAGCACUUUCAGUGGGGAAGAAAGCCUUGGGGCUAAUACCCUCGAGGAAGGACAUCACCCACAGAAGAAGCACCGGCUAACUCCGUGCCAGCAGCCGCGGUAAUACGGAGGGUGCGAGCGUUAAUCGGAAUUACUGGGCGUAAAGCGCGCGUAGGCGGUCUGAUAAGCCGGUUGUGAAAGCCCCGGGCUCAACCUGGGAACGGCAUCUGGAACUGUCAGGCUAGAGUGCAGGAGAGGAAGGUAGAAUUCCCGGUGUAGCGGUGAAAUGCGUAGAGAUCGGGAGGAAUACCAGUGGCGAAGGCGGCCUUCUGGACUGACACUGACGCUGAGGUGCGAAAGCGUGGGUAGCAAACAGGAUUAGAUACCCGUGUAGUC
RNAcentral lists this ribosomal RNA (465 nucleotides) under Vreelandella stevensii. RNAcentral's name for it is "partial 16S ribosomal RNA". It matches the Rfam family "Bacterial small subunit ribosomal RNA", at positions 338 to 795 of the family's 1533-position model. Lineage: Bacteria; Pseudomonadati; Pseudomonadota; Gammaproteobacteria; Oceanospirillales; Halomonadaceae. The record is from RNAcentral.